RNAcentral lists this ribosomal RNA (455 nucleotides) under uncultured Alphaproteobacteria bacterium. RNAcentral's name for it is "partial 16S ribosomal RNA". The record is from RNAcentral. Lineage: Bacteria; Pseudomonadati; Pseudomonadota; Alphaproteobacteria.
CACGAAGUUAGCCGGGGCUUCUUCUUCAGGUACCGUCAUUAUCGUCCCUGACGAAAGAGCUUUACAACCCUAAGGCCUUCAUCACUCACGCGGCAUGGCUGGAUCAGGCUUGCGCCCAUUGUCCAAUAUUCCCCACUGCUGCCUCCCGUAGGAGUUUGGGCCGUGUCUCAGUCCCAAUGUGGCUGGCCAUCCUCUCAGACCAGCUACCGAUCGUCGCCUUGGUGAGCCAUUACCUCACCAACUAGCUAAUCGGACGCGGGCCAAUCCUUCGGCGAUCAAUCUUUCGCCUCUCGGCCGUAUACGGUAUUAGCUCGAGUUUCCCCGAGUUGUUCCGUACCAAAGGGUAUGUUCCCACGUGUUACUCACCCGUCUGCCACUCCUGGAUUGCUCCAAGCGUUCGACUUGCAUGUGUUAAGCCUGCCGCCAGCGUUCGUUCUGAGCCAGGAUCAAACUCU